This 268-nucleotide small RNA is filed under the name Arabidopsis thaliana (thale cress). RNAcentral describes it as "ATSL210870". Lineage: Eukaryota; Viridiplantae; Streptophyta; Magnoliopsida; Brassicales; Brassicaceae. The record is from RNAcentral.
UAUAUAUAAAAAAAAGGAAGAAGAGGAAAACAGUCCUUUGAGCUUUUGUAACGCGUUUUCUCUUGUUUUUAAGGAACAAUUAAGGGCUUGAUUGGUUUUCCCUCUGCCAUCCGCAAACGCUGCAUUUGCGGGUGGUAGCGGUUGUUAGCGAUUGGCACCAAUCAUACAAACUGCUAGAUACCGCUUUGGACCGUUCGAAAUCGCCAGAUUUCAAAAUCUCCUUCCCACAAACGUUUGUGGGCGGUAGCGGUUAGAUUUUUUUUUUUUU